AUUGAACGCUGGCGGCAGGCUUAACACAUGCAAGUCGAACGAGUGGCGGACGGGUGAGUAAUGCUUGGGGAUCUAGCUUAUGGAGGGGGAUAACUACGGGAAACUGUAGCUAAUACCGCAUACCAUAGGAUGAACCCAAGUGGGAUUAGGUAGUUGGUGAGGUAAAGGCUCACCAAGCCGACGAUCUCUAGCUGGUCUGAGAGGAUGACCAGCCACACUGGGACUGAGAGACGGCCCAGCCUCCUACGGGAGGCAGCAGUGGGGAAUAUUGCGCAAUGGGGGCAACCUGACGCAGCCAUGCCGCGUGAAUGAAGAAGGCCUUCGGGUUGUAAAGUACUUUCGGUAGGGAGGCGUUAACUACAGAAGAAGCACCGGCUAACUCCGUGCCAGCAGCCGCGGUAAUAC
Molecule: ribosomal RNA, 405 nt
Filed under: uncultured bacterium
Lineage: Bacteria
Description: partial 16S ribosomal RNA
Rfam family: Bacterial small subunit ribosomal RNA
Source: RNAcentral